GGUCCUGUAGUGUAGUGGUGAUCACGGUGGAUUUUGAUUCCGUAGACCCCGGUUCGAUUCCGGGCAGGACCU
RNAcentral lists this transfer RNA (72 nucleotides) under Blastobotrys adeninivorans. Its description in RNAcentral is "tRNA Gln (TTG) score". It matches the Rfam family "tRNA". Rfam says of the family: Transfer RNA (tRNA) molecules are approximately 80 nucleotides in length. Their secondary structure includes four short double-helical elements and three loops (D, anti-codon, and T loops). Lineage: Eukaryota; Fungi; Ascomycota; Dipodascomycetes; Dipodascales; Trichomonascaceae. The record is from RNAcentral.